UACGAAGGGGGCUAGCGUUGGUCGGAAUCACUGGGCGUAAAGGGCGCGUAGGCGGCCGAUCAAGUCGGGGGUGAAAGCCUGUGGCUCAACCACAGAAUUGCCUUCGAUACUGUUUGGCUUGAGACCGGAAGAGGUUAGUGGAACUGCGAGUGUAGAGGUGAAAUUCGUAGAUAUUCGCAAGAACACCAGUGGCGAAGGCGGCUGACUGGUCCGGUUCUGACGCUGAGGCGCGAAAGCGUGGGGAGCAAACAGG
Molecule: ribosomal RNA, 253 nt
Filed under: uncultured bacterium
Lineage: Bacteria
Description: partial 16S ribosomal RNA
Rfam family: Bacterial small subunit ribosomal RNA
Source: RNAcentral